This 440-nucleotide ribosomal RNA is filed under the name uncultured bacterium. RNAcentral's name for it is "partial 16S ribosomal RNA". It matches the Rfam family "Bacterial small subunit ribosomal RNA", at positions 338 to 795 of the family's 1533-position model. The record is from RNAcentral.
CCUACGGGAGGCAGCAGUGGGGAAUAUUGCACAAUGGGGGAAACCCUGAUGCAGCGACGCCGCGUGAGUGAAGAAGUACUUCGGUAUGUAAAGCUCUAUCAGCAGGGAAGAUAAUGACGGUACCUGAUUAAGAAGCCCCGGCUAACUACGUGCCAGCAGCCGCGGUAAUACGUAGGGGGCACGCGUUAUCCGGAUUUACUGGGUGUAAAGGGAGCGUAGACGGCGUCCCAAGUCUGGAGUGAAAGGCCGGGGCUCAACCCCGGGACUGAAUUGGAAACUGGGAGGCUGGAGUGCAGGAGGGGUAAGCGGAAUGCCUAGUGUAGCGGUGAAAUGCGUAGAUAUUAGGAGGAACACCAGUGGCGAAGGCGGCUUACUGGACGGUAACUGACGUUGAGGCUCGAAAGCGUGGGGAGCAAACAGGAUUAGAUACCCGUGUAGUC